ACUCAAUUAGUAUAUAAAGUAUAUAAAGCUUCCAACUUUAAGGAUUAAAUCUAAAUUGAGUA
This 62-nucleotide transfer RNA is filed under the name Ujna puerana. RNAcentral describes it as "tRNA-Gly". The record is from RNAcentral. Lineage: Eukaryota; Metazoa; Arthropoda; Insecta; Hemiptera; Cicadellidae.